UACGAACCGUACGAACGUUAUUCGGAAUCACUGGGCUUAAAGGGUGCGUAGGCGGCCAUGUAAGUGAGGUGUGAAAUCCCUCGGCUCAACCGAGGAACUGCGCUUCAUACUGCAUGGCUUGAGGGAGACAGGGGUAAGCGGAACUGAUGGUGGAGCGGUGAAAUGCGUUGAUAUCAUCAGGAACACCGGUGGCGAAAGCGGCUUACUGGGUCUCUUCUGACGCUGAGACGCGAAAGCGUGGGGAGCGAACAGG
This 253-nucleotide ribosomal RNA is filed under the name uncultured bacterium. RNAcentral describes it as "partial 16S ribosomal RNA". It matches the Rfam family "Bacterial small subunit ribosomal RNA", at positions 524 to 776 of the family's 1533-position model. The record is from RNAcentral.